Long non-coding RNA from Ostrinia nubilalis (European corn borer), 408 nucleotides. RefSeq lists it as uncharacterized. The record is from RefSeq and is a predicted model, not a curated record. The transcript has 2 exons. NCBI's taxonomy places the organism in Eukaryota, Metazoa, Arthropoda, Insecta, Lepidoptera, Crambidae.
GUGGAGAAUAAUAAUUGCCCAUUUAUUUUGAAAAAAGACCGUAAAUACGGAACAGGACGAUCCGUAUAAGGUUACAUCGGCUCGUACAAGGUUUCAUCGGAUCGUACAAGGUUCCAUCGGAUCGUACAAGGUUAUCCAACGGAUCUUAUAAGGUUCAACAAGUCAAAAGUUCAAGUGUAAAGUGAUUGAACCAAAAUGUGUCUCACAUGCGACUGUGGUGACUGCGGUGCGUGCGGCCAGAUCAUAAGAUGCCUGCUAUGCGUCACACUAUGCGCGUUUGUGCUACGAUUGUGUGGAGUAGACGUCGGCGACGGUUGUUGUUGUGGCGAUGACGGUGGUGCUAUCAAUGUCGUUAAUUAGGUUUAGAGAUUUUUAAUUAUUUGUACAAAAUAUACCGCUUUGAAAGUG